This 309-nucleotide ribosomal RNA is filed under the name Staphylococcus aureus. Its description in RNAcentral is "bacterial SSU rRNA". It matches the Rfam family "Bacterial small subunit ribosomal RNA", at positions 1102 to 1412 of the family's 1533-position model. The record is from RNAcentral. Lineage: Bacteria; Bacillati; Bacillota; Bacilli; Caryophanales; Staphylococcaceae.
CCCUUAAGCUUAGUUGCCAUCAUUAAGUUGGGCACUCUAAGUUGACUGCCGGUGACAAACCGGAGGAAGGUGGGGAUGACGUCAAAUCAUCAUGCCCCUUAUGAUUUGGGCUACACACGUGCUACAAUGGACAAUACAAAGGGCAGCGAAACCGUGAGGUCAAGCAAAUCCCAUAAAGUUGUUCUCAGUUCGGAUUGUAGUCUGCAACUCGACUACAUGAAGCUGGAAUCGCUAGUAAUCGUAGAUCAGCAUGCUACGGUGAAUACGUUCCCGGGUCUUGUACACACCGCCCGUCACACCACGAGAGUU